UGGGGAAUUUUGGACAAUGGGCGAAAGCCUGAUCCAGCAAUGCCGCGUGUGUGAAGAAGGCCUUCGGGUUGUAAAGCACUUUUGUCCGGAAAGAAAUCCUCUGGGUUAAUACCUCGGGGGGAUGACGGUACCGGAAGAAUAAGCACCGGCUAACUACGUGCCAGCAGCCGCGGUAAUACGUAGGGUGCAAGCGUUAAUCGGAAUUACUGGGCGUAAAGCGUGCGCAGGCGGUUUUGUAAGACGGAUGUGAAAUCCCCGGGCUUAACCUGGGAACUGCAUUCGUGACUGCAAGGCUAGAGUAUGGCAGAGGGGGGUAGAAUUCCACGUGUAGCAGUGAAAUGCGUAGAGAUGUGGAGGAAUACCGAUGGCGAAGGCAGCCCCCUGGGCCAAUACUGACGCUCAUGCACGAAAGCGUGGGGAGCAAACAGGAUUAGAUACCCUGGUAGUCCACGCCCUAAACGAUGUCAACUAGUUGUUGGGGAUUCAUUUCCUUAGUAACGUAGCUAACGCGUGAAGUUGACCGCCUGGGGAGUACGGUCGCAAGAUUAAAACUCAAAUGGAAUUGACGGGGUCAUAGCUGUUUCC
Molecule: ribosomal RNA, 585 nt
Filed under: uncultured bacterium
Lineage: Bacteria
Description: partial 16S ribosomal RNA
Rfam family: Bacterial small subunit ribosomal RNA
Source: RNAcentral